This 676-nucleotide ribosomal RNA is filed under the name uncultured Bacteroidota bacterium. Its description in RNAcentral is "bacterial SSU rRNA". It matches the Rfam family "Bacterial small subunit ribosomal RNA", at positions 74 to 748 of the family's 1533-position model. The record is from RNAcentral. Lineage: Bacteria; Pseudomonadati; Bacteroidota.
CUUGCUUUUGAUGGGCGUCGACCGGCGCACGGGUGAGUAACGCGUAUCCAACCUGCCCAUCACUUGGGGAUAACCUUGCGAAAGUAAGACUAAUACCCAAUGGUAUCUCUAGAAGACAUCUGAAGGAGAUUAAAGAUUUAUCGGUGAUGGAUGGGGAUGCGUCUGAUUAGCUUGUUGGCGGGGUAACGGCCCACCAAGGCGACGAUCAGUAGGGGUUCUGAGAGGAAGGUCCCCCACAUUGGAACUGAGACACGGUCCAAACUCCUACGGGAGGCAGCAGUGAGGAAUAUUGGUCAAUGGACGAGAGUCUGAACCAGCCAAGUAGCGCGCAGGAAGACGGCCCUAUGGGUUGUAAACUGCUUUUAUAAGGGAAUAAAGUGAGUCUCGUGAGACUUUUUGCAUGUACCUUAUGAAUAAGGACCGGCUAAUUCCGUGCCAGCAGCCGCGGUAAUACGGAAGGUCCGGGCGUUAUCCGGAUUUAUUGGGUUUAAAGGGAGCGUAGGCCGGAGAUUAAGCGUGUUGUGAAAUGUAGAUGCUCAACAUCUGAACUGCAGCGCGAACUGGUUUCCUUGAGUACGCACAAAGUGGGCGGAAUUCGUGGUGUAGCGGUGAAAUGCUUAGAUAUCACGAAGAACUCCGAUUGCGAAGGCAGCUCACUGGAGCGCAACUGACGCUG